UUUUCGAGAUUUCACUUUCGAUUAUUUAACAAUUGAAGUUAGUUUCCUUCAAAAAGUAUUCCAUUUGCAAUAAAAAUAACUUACGUUCGUGAAGUAAUAACAACAAUUAAUAAUUCCCUAAAAAAACAACAAUUAAUAAUAAUAAUAAUAAUAAUAAUAAUAAUAAUAAUAAAAGAAUUUGUUUUGAGUUAAAAAAAAAAAAAAACUUUUCUGUUAUACUCCAGCGCAUUAUAUGUUAAUCUGAGCGACGCCGCACCCCUACUCCAAACCAAAACCCAAAACCCUAAUUCGGUGGCCUCCCUCGCCUCCCUUUAAGUAGCACCCUUUCUCUCUUCAUUUUGCAUCGCCGCUGCACACACACACACACACACACACACACAUUUCUAACUUUUUCAGGUUUCAUAGCUUUUGAAGACUGAUUUUAAUUGAUUUGUGGGCAAUGAUGAGUAUUGUGAUAGGUCUCGUUCGUCGUAAUGGCAUAUUGUUUGCCUUGCCGACCAUACUGAUAUAUCACCACCCAUAAACUGAGUCCUCCCAUUCCAAAAUUCUAAUUCUCAUUUCUUUUUCUAGGUUUAUUUUAUUUGCUCCCCUUUUUUGCUUGCUUAUAUGUUUACCGAUGAUUGUGUGCUCAAUUGUUGGCAAGCAUAUCACCGGAUCCAAGCACGGACAUCAGUCCAAUUUCUCUAUGACGAUGCUAUUUGCUCGUAUAGUGUUGGAUUCUUUUUUGAAUUUUCCGUGUUCACAUUUCCGAAAAUCUACUCUUGUUUUUGGAAAAUUUGAUUGUUGCCUAUGAUGAUUGAAGUGGAAUUUUAUUAAUGAUUAUUCGUUGAUUAUGAACACACUACUGCCUUCCUUCUGAGGCUUGUUGCAUCCAAUUCAAAUUCCUUUUUUAUUGCCUUAAAAUUUUUGGAUCUCUGUUCCACUAGACUUGUAUAUAUAUACUUUUUUUCGUAAAAUUACUUCUCUGAUCGGUCAAGUGAUGAUUAGAUGCAUAGUUCAAAUGACUAAUUCGUGAUUAUAAUACUCUUUAGUCUUUCGCUCCUAUCUGAUGACAUUAGAUCAAAAGGUUUUGCUGAUUAUAUUUUCCUUAGUUGAGUUUUGUAAAUAUAGUAGUAAUAUUCUUUUAAAUCUCUCGGAUUUUCAUCUAUGGGCCUAUGAUUAAAAACUUUAUAAAGACAAGCAUAUGUCUGAAUAUCAUGUGUAGACUUUCUAAUCUUCUCAAUGAGGCCUCAAUUAUUAUUUUUCAAACUUAUUUUAGUUUUCAAAAUCUUUUUGGAAAAGUGAUUGUAUUAAUUUUACAUAAGUAAUUUGAGUGGAAAUUCAGGCAGCCUCCUUCUGUCUUAAAGAAGAAUGGGAAGGAAGGUGUUUAUCUGCUCGUAUAAUGACCUUUUGCUCUUCAGACUUGCUGAUUUAUUCUUUGAAGCUGGUCUAGUAAGCUCAAGAACAUUUUUUUGUUCAUCCAAUAUUUUUUAUUUUUAAGUUAAUUGUAUUAAUGUUGAUUUCAGUGUUGAUUGUUGCUGGCUUCGCUAUCUGGUUGUUGGAUUUAACUUAGUAUCCUAUCAACUCGUUCCCUAGAAGCAAUAGUAGUUGUGUUGCUCUGUUUUUAUCACUCCAUCUUCUUGUUUGGUUGUUGUUGGAGAUCAAUGGGGCAGCUACAUUUUUCUACUAUAAUAUGUGGUGAAAUGGCGAUGAUGAGUAAUUUUACAGACCUGUAAUGAUUGCGGAUAUGAUCGCGAUUAUUGAACAUCUAAGGGACUGAGCCAUUUCGUUUUCUUGUCACUUUACUUUUUUUUUUUUUUCAAAUAUUAAAAUCUCUACUGCUUUGCUUGUAUUUUGUAUCUUGUCAUACGAAACACAAGUUUGUGUGGCAUUUACAACAAGUGAAGCUAUAUAAACAAGUUCCCCUCGCUAUCCGGUGAUGCUCCUUUCUAGUUCAUUUGGACGUUGGCGAACGACAUUCAUUUCAAUUUUUCUUGCCCUAGUGCUCGAUUGUGCUGUGCGGCUUGAGCUGCUUCUAGGCUGGUGAAUCGGUUGAGGGUGUGUUCUUUAGCGCCAGGUGCAAGCGUGUUUGAAGAAGGCAUUUGCAGUCGGGAGUGCGAAGGGAGUAUAGGCGGCAUUGGAGCGGCGGCGUUUGGAUUUUAAGGAAUAAUUUAGAAUCCUUGUAGAUAUCAAGAAUGUGUGGAGUUUGCAGUUGGGUAGUGGCAGAGAAGGAAUUAUAUUCACUUUCUGCAAAUAUAGUAUGGUUUUGUGGAAGAAACAGACCCCAAAUUUUAGAAUGACCUUCGCUAUUCCAAAAUGUUUGAAAUGAUAGUUGUAAUGUAUUAAAAGUUAUAUAAAAAUGAUAGAUUUGGAGAAA
Molecule: long non-coding RNA, 2356 nt
Organism: Salvia miltiorrhiza (redroot sage)
Lineage: Eukaryota; Viridiplantae; Streptophyta; Magnoliopsida; Lamiales; Lamiaceae
Exons: 2
Source: RefSeq, a predicted model, not a curated record